RNA transcript from Bombyx mori (domestic silkworm), 2008 nucleotides. It is a transcript of the gene named serine protease inhibitor 21, with no coding region annotated. NCBI's taxonomy places the organism in Eukaryota, Metazoa, Arthropoda, Insecta, Lepidoptera, Bombycidae. The record is from RefSeq and is marked provisional. The transcript is spliced from 9 exons.
UUACGUGCGCUGACCGGUCGACGUCGCGUUAUGAAUGUUAUGAUGUCAUCAAGAAUACACACGUUAAUACCGCGCGUUGUUCGUGCCGGCUGUCUGAUGGCUGCCAUCUACAAUAACAUUUGCGGCCACGCAAAAUAGUUCCGUUGUACUCUCUUAACAUAUUUAGUUUUAUUUUAAAGAAAGCGAACCAAACUGUGGUCGGUAUGGAUACGAAGUCGUUCUCCUCGACAAUAGCAAAGUUCUCAGUCAAGUUUUGCAAUGAGCUAAACGGUGAUAAAGAUGUGGUCUCGUCACCGUUGUCAGCGGAAUACUUAUUGGCGCUGAUAGCUUUGGGUUCAACGGACACCGCACACGAAGAGCUCUUAACAAGCCUCGAUUUUCCAGAUGACAACACGAUACGCACGCUUUUCACUGCGGCCUCUGCUAAAUUGAAAACUAUUAAGGGUAUUAAUUUAAGUUUAGCAAACAAGAUAUACGUUAAAUCGUGCGAUUAUGAACUCAAUUCGCAACUGAAGAAAGACGCCGUGGACGUGUUUGAUGCGGAAUUGGAGAAAGUCGAUUUCGGAGACAGCGCUGCUGCUGCUAAACUGAUCAACGGCUGGGUCGAAAGUAAAACAAAUGAACGAAUUAAAAAUCUGGUUUCCAAUAGCAGCCUCAAUUCUGACACGCAAGUCGUUCUGAUCAACGCUCUCUACUUUAAGGGUUCAUGGAAAAACCAAUUUAACCCUAAGAGCACCGUGGAGCAUCCGUUCUAUAUUAACAACGAAACAUCUGUGAAAAUUCCCAUGAUGUACCAAGAAGACAAAUUUAAGUACGACAACAACACUGAGCUCAACGCCCAGAUCUUAGAAAUGGCGUAUGAAGGUAACGAGGCCAGCAUGGUAAUUGUAUUACCGAACGAAAUUGAUGGCCUUGAUCAAGUCCUACGGAAACUAGCCGACGGCUUCGAUCUCAUCGCAGUAUGGGAGAAGCUGAUCUCAACAAAACUACAAGUCAUAAUACCCAAAUUCAAGACUGAAACUGAAAUAGACCUUACGCAUGUUUUCUCAAAGUUGGGCAUUAAUGCGAUCUUCCGUCGCGAAAAUUCUGGUGUGUCGAAGAUCUUGGAUAACAACGAGUCGUUGUAUAUCUCGAAGGCCAUACAAAAAGCCUUCAUUGAAGUGAAUGAAGAAGGAGCCGAAGCGGCUGCUGCCACUCAUAUGGUGUUAAGAAAGCGGCGUGCUCAUUAUCCCGCUCCGAUCGUCCGGGCUGAUCGACCUUUUCUUUAUUUCCUCAUUGGGCCUGAUCACACGAUGCUGUUCGUCGGUCUGUACCAAGGACGUACAUAACUCAGCCUUAUAUUUGGAUGAGCAUCUGUUCCCCGUCCAUUACUUCCGCUUUUAAAGGUAUCCCAGUGUCUUGUCCUUCUACAUAAUAAGAGGUGGUAAUAAUACUUCUGGAGUAUUUAUUUGGUAUUUAUCCUGUUUGAGUAUUGAUACUGCGACCGCUUGUAAAAAAUUAGAAUUAGCCUGUUGACAACAGAGUGAUGAGUAUGAAAAGAAAUUUGUAUUAAAUAAUAGAAAUAUGUGUUUAAUUUAUUAUUUUAUUUAGAAAUAAAAGUUUUCUGUUUGCUGUAAAUAUCCUAUUAUAUCAUAAUAUAUGCUACAUUCGUGAAAAAAUAGACAAUAUUUCAUUUAUAUUAGUUUGUACAUUGAAGAUAUUCACGAACCCUAUUCACGGGUUUUUUGUUUGAAAAUUUUGUUUUUAAAAAUCUUUUACAACACCUUUAACUUCAACGACAAUAAAAAUAUACACAACGAAAUCAAAGAAGCUUGUAUUUCAGAGAAUCUCAAAGUUUUGCAAUAUUCAAUGUAUUCUUAAACAAAAACAAGUCUGCUGGACUUGUGUUUAACACUAACUUAAAUUAAUAAAUGUAAUCAAAAUUAAUAAAAAAAAUAAUAUGUUAGUACUUAAAAGUUACGUUAUUAAGAGAUCCAUUAUCGACAUUAAAUAAAUGUUUUUUCUUUAA